CCAUUACUAAAAAAUUCCUUUUCUUUGAAAACUGCACAUGGCGUGAGAAGUUUCGCUCAAUUUACUCCGUACUUACUCAUGCCAAUUUGGGCAAUUUUCAACACAGUUUUUCUACAAAAUCGUUCACAGAGACGAUCUUAAUCGAUUUAUUUCCAUUGUCACUUUCAUUCAACUGCUUGACAUAUAACCUCACCCUUGCCCCGCUGAAUCAGAUUUUUGCGAAAUUCAUUCAUCUUCAGUUGUGUCGUUCUGUGGAAGUGGAAAAGAAAAAGAAAGAAAAAACGACUGACUAAAUUCAAAGAAAAAAGAAAGUGCAAUUCUGAGAAAACGAAACGAAACGUCUUCAAGAAGGAACAACAAGGAUAGUUAUAUUAAGUUUGAUUCGAGUGUGAAGAAAAUAAAUCGAAUUCGCUCUUUUUACACCCCCAACCAACUGAUCCAAGGAAUUUAAUUUACAAAAAAAAAUCAAAAUGAGCGAAGAGACGUCCGCUGAUCGUAAUGUGGAAAUCUGGAAAAUCAAAAAACUCAUCAAGAGUUUGGAAAUGGCCCGAGGCAAUGGCACCAGUAUGAUUUCUCUUAUUAUUCCACCAAAAGAUCAAAUAUCUCGUGUAAGCAAAAUGUUGGCAGAUGAAUUCGGAACGGCGUCAAACAUCAAGUCACGUGUCAAUCGUCUGUCUGUCUUGGGUGCCAUUACAUCUGUGCAGCAUAGACUUAAAUUAUACACCAAAGUGCCUCCAAACGGUUUAGUUAUAUACUGUGGCACAAUUGUCACUGAAGAAGGCAAAGAGAAAAAAGUCAACAUCGAUUUCGAGCCAUUUAAGCCCAUCAAUACAUCGCUCUAUCUGUGCGAUAACAAGUUCCAUACGGAGGCGUUGACCGCCCUCCUAGCGGACGACAAUAAAUUCGGUUUUAUCGUCAUGGAUGGUAAUGGAGCGUUGUUUGGUACACUUCAAGGUAAUACCCGCGAAGUGCUGCACAAGUUUACCGUUGAUCUGCCGAAAAAGCACGGUCGUGGUGGUCAAUCUGCUUUACGUUUUGCCCGUCUGCGUAUGGAAAAGCGUCACAAUUACGUGCGAAAGGUCGCCGAAGUUGCCACACAGUUGUUCAUUACAAAUGAUAAGCCCAAUAUUGCGGGCUUGAUCUUAGCUGGUAGUGCUGAUUUCAAAACUGAACUGAGUCAAUCCGAUAUGUUUGAUCCUAGACUGCAAUCAAAGAUUAUUAAAUUGGUGGACGUUUCCUAUGGAGGCGAAAACGGAUUUAAUCAGGCGAUUGAAUUAGCGGCUGAAUCACUGCAAAAUGUCAAAUUUAUUCAGGAAAAGAAGCUUAUUGGCCGUUACUUUGAUGAAAUUUCUCAGGAUACAGGAAAAUAUUGUUUUGGAGUUGAGGACACAUUAAGAGCAUUGGAACUGGGUUCAGUGGAAACAUUGAUUUGCUGGGAAAACUUGGACAUUCAACGUUACGUGCUAAAGAAUCAUGCGAACUCAACCUCGACCACAGUAUUACAUCUAACACCAGAGCAAGAAAAAGAUAAAUCACAUUUCACUGAUAAGGAAAGCGGGGUCGAAAUGGAAUUAAUCGAGUCUCAGCCCCUUUUGGAAUGGCUUGCGAACAAUUACAAAAUAUUUGGUGCUACUCUUGAGAUCAUUACCGACAAAUCUCAAGAAGGUAGUCAGUUUGUGCGAGGAUUUGGUGGAAUUGGAGGAAUCUUGCGCUACAAAGUAGAUUUCCAAUCGCUUCAAGCCGACGAACCUUUGGAUGAUGUUGACCUUGAUGAUUACUAAAUAAAUUAAAAUCAAAACAAAAUAUAAAUAUGAAAUGAUUAAAAAAGUAAUAAUAAAACACAUAAAUGAUAAAAAUAAGAGAACAAGCUAAAGAAAGUAAAAAUAAAAGGAGAGCAAUGUGUAGCGAGAAACUUCACACAAAGAAUGAACACACGAGAAGAGUCGUCGAAUUUUCUCGGUUUUCUUAUUUUACUAAACAAAAAAAAAAAACAAAACAAAAUAAAUUAAAAUUAAACCUUUUUAAAAAUAAUAAUAAAUUAGAUCGCGUGAAUUUUUAUUGUAAUAUUUAAUUUAAAAAAAAAAAACGAAGAAAACCUGUCGUGCAUAUAAAAACAAAUAAUAGACAUGUAUUCUUAUUAAAAACAAAAUUAUGUUAAAGGCUAACAUUUUCCCAAUUGUAUAAAAAAAAGAAAAACUAAAAUUGCCAUGAAGUUCGAACUCUCACAAUUUUAAUUAAAAUUUAAUACUCCUGAAACAAAAAUAAAUACAAAAAAAUAUGUUAAACCCUUCAUUCUUCUAACUUUAAAGUCACAAUCGCGUCUUUUUGACUAAGGCAUUUUACGUUACAAAGUAGACUUCCAGAGUAUGCAGCUAGAUGAAUUGGACAACGAAUGUUUCGAAUUAGAUGAUUAUUAGAUUUUAUUUGUUUUUCAAUUUCAAUUUUUUUGGUAAAUUCUUACCUCAGAAAAAAAAGAAGAAUUUUUUCUUUGCAGAAUUAAAAACAAAAAACACCGUAAAUUAUAAACUAUAAACACAAAAUUAUAAACUAAAAGCGUCAACAUCAAUAUCAGAAUAAUUAAUUUAAAAGCAAAACAAAAACUGUAUAGAAUAUUAAAUUGCGAAACAAAACAAAAAUCAUAUACACUAUUUACUAAUUAAUUGAUGAAAAUGAUUAAAAAUAUAUAAUUAUGAAAAUGAAUGACGUACAUACGUUUUGAACAAUCUUUUCCAAACCACAAAAACAAGAACACCAAGAAAAAUGGGGAAAACUAAAAAAAGGAAAAUCUGCUGUGUGCCUGUGUAACGGGAGCCUAUUUUGAGCUUUAGAAAUCUAUCGCUGUUCAUUUUCUUAAAACUGUUUUUUUUUUUAUAUUAUAUAUAUAUAUUAUAUUCAUUUUUCUUUUUAAAUUUAACCAUAUAAAUUGUUUUUAAAAUAAAAAUACAUUUUAUUUAACUUAAGAUUACAAUUAUAAAAAAGAAAAGAAAAAAAAAGAAACGGAAGUGUGAUUGGCAAGCAAUGCAACUCUGAUAAUCAUGAUCUAUUUUACAUUAAUGCAUUGUUUAAUUCUUUUGAUAUAAAUAAAACAUUAAUACGAAUGCAAACAUGAAGAGGUUUAUAGUUAAACGAAAAAAGAAUGAACUCAACAAAUAAAUGCUUUCAGUUCGAAAAUACAAAAUUAAUUGAAAAUAAAGAAACAAAGUCAAAAUAACAAAGAAAAUAACUUAAAACGAAAACACAAUUUAAACAAUUUAAAAAUUUAGCAGACCAUGUUUAUAUUUACAGAGAAAACAAAUAAAAUAACAGAAAUUAACAAAACAAAUAUGUAGCUCUAGAUAGAAAAGAGCGAGAACAUUUUAAAAUGAAAACAAAAUCGAUAUAAACCAAGACAUUACAAUUUUAUGUUAUAUUAUAUAUUUAUCGAAGUAGCGAAGAUGAAAAAAGCGAUAUACAAAAAAGAGAAUGAGCCAGCAAAGUGACGCAAAUAAAUAGAAAAAAGAAUAUAUAAUAAAAAAAAAUUCCACACGAGAAAAA
Eupeodes corollae is the source of this 3534-nucleotide RNA transcript. It is a transcript of the gene named eukaryotic peptide chain release factor subunit 1, with no coding region annotated. The record is from RefSeq and is a predicted model, not a curated record. The transcript has 10 exons. Lineage: Eukaryota; Metazoa; Arthropoda; Insecta; Diptera; Syrphidae.